Molecule: long non-coding RNA, 732 nt
Organism: Helianthus annuus (common sunflower)
Lineage: Eukaryota; Viridiplantae; Streptophyta; Magnoliopsida; Asterales; Asteraceae
Exons: 4
Source: RefSeq, a predicted model, not a curated record
AAUAAAAAUGUGUGGUUGUAUACGGUCGAAGAUGACUAGAUGACUAGAUGAUGUGUAAUGAUGUUUAUUUUUGUGUGCCUAAGGGAGUUUACUGCGAUUGGAGAUUGGAUAUUCAAGUUUCGGUUAUUUGGUUUUCUUGCAGUUUAUCCGUGAAUGUACUCGCAAAUGUUGAUGAACUAAUCAAGGACAAGAUUGAAAUGGAGAAGGAGAGUAAACCUAAGGAGACUGAAGAGCAGGAUGUAAUCAAGUAGCAGAACAUGUAUGCCCAACUACGGCCACUCGCUCAACCUGAAUCGUAGGGUAUGGGUGGUGGAUACGGUCAACUAGGACCACCACUGCCAAUGGUGAAAUGAGAGUUUCACCAAUGCACCACCGUUUGGCAUGCCUCAUGCCCUUGAACUCGAUGGAAAACUAUUAUCGAUAGUGCUGUGACACUUCAUUUAGCAGGGGAAAGAGGCGCAUACACCCCCUAUAACAACUUGAAUAUCAGAAUCUCGACAAUGACACCUAAAGAAUAUAACAUAUCUUGAUGCAACGAUCAGCCUUCAGUCUUGCUAUUCUAUCAAAGAUUACAUAUGUGCGCUUCAAGAUGAAUGUUGAAGAUUGUAACCCACACAACUUGCAUAAGAUCUGGUAAAGCAACUUCAAUGGUUUCCUUACACAGAAAUAACACACCACAACACCUCUUCCACUUUGCAUCAUAUUUUUCUAUGUACCAUCUCUGUUAACAAU